AACCUGGUUGAUCUUGCCAGUAGUCAUAUGCUUGUCUCACAGAUUAAGCCAUGCAAGUGAAAGUACAUAUGUAAAUAAUAUAUUGAAACUGCGAACGGCUCAUUAAAACAGUUAUAAUCUACUUGAUGUUUUUAAUAUAAGGAUAACUACGGAAAAUCUGUAGCUAAUACUUGUGAAAAUACCUUUUGAUAUAUACAUAUAUAUAUAUAUGUAUGUAUCAUUAAGGUAUGUAUUUGUUAGAUAUAAGAAUAAAAUAAAUAUAAUUGAAUUAUAACAAAGAAGAAACACAUAAAAUAUGUGUAUUAUCAAUCGAGUAUCUGACCUAUCAGCUUUUGAUGUUAGGGUAUUGACCUAACAUGGCUAUGACGGGUAACGGGGAAUUAGAGUUCGAUUCCGGAGAGGGAGCCUGAGAAAUAGCUACCACAUCUAAGGAAGGCAGCAGGCGCGUAAAUUACCCAAUUCUAAAAAAGAGAGGUAGUGACAAGAAAUAACAAUACAAUAUCGAAAAAUGAUUUUGUAAUUGGAAUGAUAGGAAUUUACAAGGUUCCUAGAGAAACAAUUGGAGGGCAAGUCUGGUGCCAGCAGCCGCGGUAAUUCCAGCUCCAAUAGCAUAUAUUAAAAUUGUUGCAGUUAAAACGUUCGUAGUUGAAUAUUAAAGAAUCCGAUGUUUCAUUUAAACUGGUUUGGGAAAACCAAAUAUAUUAUAUAUUUUGCUUUGUUCAAAAUAAGGUUUUCUAAUAAAUUAUGUUUUUAUCAGAUAUGACAGAAUCUUUUUUAAAAUCUCUUCAAUAUGCUUUUAUUGCUUUUGAGAGGUUUUGUUACUUUGAGUAAAAUUAAGUGUUCAUAACAGACGGGUAGUCAUGAUUGAGUUCAUUGUGUUUGAAUACUACAGCAUGGAAUAACAAAUAUGAAUAAGCUAAUUAUUUUUUUUUUUCAUAAUUUUUUUUGAUAUUCUUAUUAGCUUAGUUACGAUUAAUAGGAGUAGCUUUGGGGGCAUUCGUAUUCAGAUGUCAGAGGUGAAAUUCUAAGAUUUUCUGGAGACGGACUACUGCGAAAGCAUUUGCCUAAUCUAUUUCCAUUAAUCAAGAACGAAAGUUAAGGGAGUGAAGACGAUCAGAUACCGUCGUAAUCUUAACCAUAAACUAUACCGACUAGGUGUUGGAUGAAUAUAAAAAAUAUAUAAAUAUGUAGCAUUUCUUAGGGAAUGUUGAUUUUAUAUUAGAAUUGCUUCCUUCAGUACCUUAUGAGAAAUCAAAGUCUUUGGGUUCUGGGGCGAGUAUUCGCGCAAGCGAGAAAGUUAAAAGAAUUGACGGAAGGGCACCACCAGGCGUGGAGCUUGCGGCUUAAUUUGACUCAACACGGGAAAACUCACUAGUUUAAGACAAGAGUAGGAUUGACAGAUUAAUAGCUCUUUCUUGAUUUCUUGGAUGGUGAUGCAUGGCCGUUUUUAGUUCGUGAAUAUGAUUUGUCUGGUUAAUUCCGAUAACGAACGAGAUCUUAACCUGCUAAUUAGCGGUAAGUACACUAUAUUUUUAUUUGAAAUUGAAUAUAGGUAAUUAUACAUGUUUAUUCAGUGUUCAAAUUAGGAUAUUUUUUUAUUAAAAUAUUCUUUUCCCUGUUCUACUAUAAUAAUUUGUUUUUUUUUACUCUAUUUCUCUCUUCUUUUAAGAAUGUACUUGUUUGAUUAAAUAAAGCUUCUUAGAGGAACAGUGUGUAUCUAACACAAGGAAGUUUAAGGCAACAACAGGUCUGUGAUGUCCUUAGAUAAACUAGGCUGCACGCGUGCUACAAUGAUAUAUAUAACAAGUUGUUAAAAAUGUACUUAUAAAUAAGUGUGUACAGUUUUUCCUGUACUGAAAAGUAUAGGUAAUCUUUAUCAGUAUAUAUCGUAAUUGGGAUAGAUUAUUGCAAUUAUUAAUCUUGAACGAGGAAUGCCUAGUAAGCAUGAUUCAUUAGAUUGUGCUGACUACGUCCCUGCCCUUUGUACACACCGCCCGUCGCUCCUACCGAUUGAAAGAUAUGAUGAAUUGUUUGGAUAUGAAUUAAAAUAAUGAAAUUUUAUAUUUCUGAUUUUUUCUAGAAGAACUGUAAAUCCUAUCUUUUAAAGGAAGGAGAAGUCGUAACAAGGUUUCCGUAGGUGAACCUGCGGAAGGAUCAUUA
Plasmodium falciparum RAJ116 is the source of this 2160-nucleotide ribosomal RNA. It matches the Rfam family "Eukaryotic small subunit ribosomal RNA". NCBI's taxonomy places the organism in Eukaryota, Apicomplexa, Aconoidasida, Haemosporida, Plasmodiidae. The record is from Rfam.